CACCAGACUCCUACGGGAGGCAGCAGUGGGGAAUAUUGCACAAUGGGGGAAACCCUGAUGCAGCGACGCCGCGUGAGCGAUGAAGUAUUUCGGUAUGUAAAGCUCUUUCAGCAGGGAAGAAAAUGACGGUACCUGACUAAGAAGCCCCGGCUAACUACGUGCCAGCAGCCGCGGUAAUACGUAGGGGGCAAGCGUUAUCCGGAUUUACUGGGUGUAAAGGGAGCGUAGGCGGCCUGGCAAGCCUGAUGUGAAAUACCGGGGCCCAACCCCGGGGCUGCAUUGGGAACUGCCAGGCUGGAGUGCCGGAGAGGCAGGCGGAAUUCCUAGUGUAGCGGUGAAAUGCGUAGAUAUUAGGAGGAACACCAGUGGCGAAGGCGGCCUGCUGGACGGUGACUGACGCUGAGGCUCGAAAGCGUGGGGAGCAAACAGGAUUAGAUACCCCCGUAC
RNAcentral lists this ribosomal RNA (447 nucleotides) under uncultured bacterium. Its description in RNAcentral is "bacterial SSU rRNA". It matches the Rfam family "Bacterial small subunit ribosomal RNA", at positions 329 to 793 of the family's 1533-position model. The record is from RNAcentral.